CUGAAUUCGCCUUACCUUUCUUACUCCGUGGUAGCGCCGCUUAGGAGCCACGUGGAAAAGGGAAGAGGCAAACAUCACGCAGGCCAAAAAAAACCCAACACCCAGCACAUCUGUCCCACCCGGCGCCGGCUCUGAGCGCUGUAUCUAUGUACAGAAACCUCCCACAGCUCCAUUUGACCUUCCAGCACACGGGUGAGAAGAGCAGAGCGCGUCGGGGGAAGAAAUCUCGCAGCAACAAAGAGAGAACAAGCAGAGCGGUGCGGUGUUUUCUGGCCGCAGCCACACGGAGAGGCUGAGCGAGGCCCGGCUGCACCCCGCGAGGGGAGGAGAGGGGUUGUGGUGGUGGUCUGCCGUGCUCGGUGGUGGGAGCCGACUCCCCUCCUGCUCCCCAACGCCAGCGGGCAGAGCCGGGCUUCGCGUGGCGGCGGUUCGGUUGUUCCUUCUGUGUCUGUAUACACACAGCCCUGUAUGUGUGUAUAGAUAUGAGGUGGUUGUUUCGCUUGGUUGGUUUUUGUUUUUGUUUUUCUUUUUCAAUGGCUUGGAUUCUGUAGGAGACGGGCAAAAGGCUUUUAUCCGGAAGGGGAACGCCGGGUUUGUGGAGCUUCCAGAUUUCUGUCGCCCCGGAAGGGACGGUUUGAGAGCGCGACUCUAUCAAAGCAUCUGCUGUACAAACGGAAAUGUAAAUCUUGUAUAGCGCCCCAGAACCUCGUGUAAAUAGCCGAGACGUCCGGGCCGGCCGCCCGCGUGGAUCAGCCCAAGAAUCAAAUCCCACGGCUCCGUCAAAGUCAAAACUGCUUCGAUUUUCCCCGCUCCCUCCCAAGAGAAAACGGAAACGCUGCGUUACCCCGCGUGCUUCCGGCCGCCCCGGGGUAACGGGCACAGGAGUUGGCUGCAGUGAUCCCCUCAUAUUGAGUGGUCCAUCACUCCGUGACAGCGGAGGGCGACUCGUCGGGAUGCGGCCGCUCCCCGGCGCGGUUCCGAGGCGCUUCGCUCCCCAGCUGCUCCGCUCUGCACUGAGGGGCAGCUUCUCUCGUUGGCGGAAAAGAAAACCCACCUCGCCGGCUUCUCUUUUAAAAUAGAAGAUGAAAAAAAAAAAAAAAUUAAAAAGGAAAAAAAAAAAAAAGUUAAAAAGAACCGUGAAGCGAGUGGUGAUGGUACGCGGGGCGGCGCGGCGACCGUCUCUCAGCAGAUAUUUGCCACGGGGCCGGGAGCAGAUUGAGAAGAUGGCCGUUGGAAGAGCAGCUCAGCUCCGUGCCGGGAGGUUUUGGGGACGUCUGUGCGUGCUGCGGGUCCCUCCUCGUCCUCCCGUGGCUGCGGCGGUGCCCGGCAGGGCGCUGCUGCUGGGUGUGGUGGUGUUGGCUCUGAGCGUGGCACAUUCCAGGCCCGCUGUGUGGGAAGGCGCUCGCCCCGUCCUGCAGCACGGAUUGAAGCUCGGAGCUCGGCAGCGAUGGAAGGAGGCGACGGGCGGCUCCUGGAGGCAGCGCGAGGCCGACAAGAUGGCGGAGCAGGCGGUUAUCCCGGGGCGCAGGAGGAGCCGGGGGCCGCUGGAUGGCAAAACACCUUGCAAGGAGGGCCGGGCCUGGCUCCUGCAAUAUCUGCUGAGAGACCAAAACGUCGUUCACUCCUCCCCGCUGCUCCAUACCUCAUCCGCGUCCCGUGGGGCAGCUGUGGCUCCGCAGCUCCUUCUACACGGGAGUUCCUCGGCGCUGGGCGCGCUGCCCAACUCAGGGCCUGCAGUCUCCCAGUGCCGCCGGCCGGCUCUGGCUGCGCGCCCGGAGCUGUGCCCUGCGGGAGGAACGGAGCUCUGCGCUCUGGGCCGGGCUCUCCCCUCAUUCCCUCACCCGGGACGUGGGGCCUCUCCUCUCCCCACCGUUACCUCCGUUUUACCCCCACAGAGAGGGCUCUACAUCCCAUCCCCCCCCCCCCAUUUAUCCCCACGGGUGUAGUGCUGUAUUUCCUACAAACACGCGGCUAUCCGCCCGUUCCCGGGGAGAACU
Molecule: long non-coding RNA, 1997 nt
Organism: Gallus gallus (chicken)
Lineage: Eukaryota; Metazoa; Chordata; Aves; Galliformes; Phasianidae
Source: Ensembl